AGAUUGAACGCUGGCGGCAUGCCUUACACAUGCAAGUCGAACGGCAGCACGGGAGCAAUCCUGGUGGCGAGUGGCGAACGGGUGAGUAAUAUAUCGGAACGUGCCCAGUCGUGGGGGAUAACGCAGCGAAAGCUGUGCUAAUACCGCAUACCGAUCUAUGGAUGAAAGCGGGGGAUCGC
RNAcentral lists this ribosomal RNA (179 nucleotides) under uncultured soil bacterium. RNAcentral's name for it is "partial 16S ribosomal RNA". It matches the Rfam family "Bacterial small subunit ribosomal RNA", at positions 26 to 216 of the family's 1533-position model. The record is from RNAcentral.